RNAcentral lists this ribosomal RNA (111 nucleotides) under Aotus nancymaae (Ma's night monkey). The record is from RNAcentral. Lineage: Eukaryota; Metazoa; Chordata; Mammalia; Primates; Aotidae.
GUCUACGGCCAUACCACCCUGAACGCGCCCGAUCUCGUCUGAUCUCGGAAGCUAAGCAGGGUCGGGCCUGGUUAGUACUUGGAUGGAAGAAUUCCCAUACACCCCUUGUCC